AGAACGAACGCUGGCGGCAGGCUUAACACAUGCAAGUCGAACGGUUGUAGCAAUACAGCAGUGGCAGACGGGUGAGUAACACGUGGGAACGUGCCCUUUGGUACGGAACAACUCCGGGAAACUGGAGCUAAAUACCGUAUGUGCCCUUCGGGGGAAAGAUUUAUCGCCAAAGGAUCGGCCCGCGUCUGAUUAGCUAGUUGGUAGGGUAACGGCCUACCAAGGCUACGAUCAGUAGCUGGUCUGAGAGGAUGAUCAGCCACAUUGGGACUGAGACACGGCCCAAACUCCUACGGGAGGCAGCAGUGGGGAAUAUUGGACAAUGGGCGCAAGCCUGAUCCAGCCAUGCCGCGUGAGUGAUGAAGGCCUUAGGGUUGUAAAGCUCUUUCGGCGGGACGAUAAUGACGGUACCCGCAGAAGAAGCCCGGCUAACUUCGCGCCAGCAGCCGC
Molecule: ribosomal RNA, 447 nt
Filed under: uncultured bacterium
Lineage: Bacteria
Description: SSU rRNA
Rfam family: Bacterial small subunit ribosomal RNA
Source: RNAcentral